UGAGCAUGGCUCUGUGCUUUGCUAUGGUGUGACGAAGAUCCGGCCAUCAUCGCUGUCCCAUCAAGAUUCUGCCAACUCUGAUUGAUACCGUCCUGAUGAUCAACCCUAGGGUUUGGACGCGGAUCUUGCAGGUAACCGAAGUAUGCAUCGUCGGUUGAAAAUUGACUGCGAGACGAACGGAAGUAACUCGUGUGCGGCGGUGGAGAAUUUACGGCGUUUUUCCCCGGAUAACAUCGUGUAUGAGUCGCUCUGCGGGGAUGAAGACGUCGCCUACUCCGCAAGAUCGUUUUAGACGAGAGAUGUAGCGAUUCGAACACGCGCCCGAUGCGAAGGCUCCUUCCGUUUCGUAUGUUUGGACAACCCCUUUCCGUUUGCUGAGAAAGAUUUUAGGGUUUCUUCCAUUCACGAGGCGACCCGGCCUUCAGGUUUAGGGCGUGUCAAAAACUACUAAACCCUGAAAGAAAGUUUUUACCACUUACAUAUCAGGGGAUGGUUACAUUCAUCAUCUA
Rhodamnia argentea is the source of this 509-nucleotide long non-coding RNA. RefSeq lists it as uncharacterized. The transcript is spliced from 2 exons. NCBI's taxonomy places the organism in Eukaryota, Viridiplantae, Streptophyta, Magnoliopsida, Myrtales, Myrtaceae. The record is from RefSeq and is a predicted model, not a curated record.